AUGUCGCCGUCGUCGCCGCAGCACCCGCCGCCGCCGCCGGCGAACGGCGGCCGUCUCCUCGUGCUCUACGCGUCGCAGACCGGCCACGCCGAGGAAGCCGCCGGGCGCGUGGGCCGCGAGGCCGAGCGCGGCGGCUGCCCGGCCGUGCACGUCCUGUCCAUGGACAGCUUCGACCCUAGGCGCUUGCCGGGAGAAAGGUUUGUGGUCUUCGUCGUGUCCACCGGCGGGCAGGGCGACCCCCCGGACUCCAUGAAGGGGUUCUGGAGGUACCUUCUGAAGAAGAACCUUGAUGCCCGGUGGCUGCAAGGGUUCCGUUACGCCGUGUUUGGGCUCGGCGAUUCACGCUACCAGGAUUACAAUGUUGCUGCAAAGAAGCUCUGUAAAAGGCUUUCACAGCUUGGUGCAACAAAACCGAUCAUAGGGAUAGGCUUGGGAGAUGACCAACACUCUUCAGGAUAUGAAAAAGCUCUAGCUCCUUGGCUGUUGUCUUUGUGGAAUUCACUGAAUCGAACAAAUCCGUCACUUUUACCAAGAAUACCCGACAUAAUAAAUCCCAAUCUGAAUAAUUUGGGGGAUGCAAAAGGUCGAAACUCCAAGAAAUUAAUCAGGAGAGCACGCUCAAUGAACCCUGCUCUAAAGUUCCAUAAUGAUGGAGAGCCACAAUACAUGUUAAAGAUGGUAACAAAUCAGCGCUUGACUAAGAAGGAGCCUGAGAGAGAUGUGCGCCAUUUUGAAUUGGAAGACCAAUCUUCUGCGAUCCAUUAUCAAGUUGGUGAUGCUUUGGAAAUUCUACCAAGUCAGAAUCCAUCAGCUGUUAACGCUUUCAUCAAACGCUGUAACUUGGAUCCAGAUUGCUACAUAACGAUUCGAGCAAAGGGCGGGGAUAAAUAUUCCAAAGAUUCACCUGUGAAUGGCUUGAUGGAUCGCAUCAAGUUAAGGACCUUUGUUGCUUUGACAAUGGAUGUUGCAUCAGCUUCCCCUGGGCGGUAUUUCUAUGAGAUCAUGAGCUAUUUUGCAACAGCUCAACAUGAAAAGGAAAGGCUUCAUUGUUUUGCAACAACUGAAGAUGAAAAGGAGAGGCUUCAGAAGAAAAGGCUUCAGAAGGAAAGGCUUGAGGAGUUUGCUUCUCCUGAAGGAAGAGAUGACCUGUACCAGUACAAUCACAAGGAGGGUCGAACUGUUCUAGAAGUAUUGGAGGAAUUUCCUUGGGUGCACAUGCCUUUUGAAUGGUUGGUGCAAUUGACACCACCAUUGAAGAAAAGAGCAUUUUCAAUAUCGUCAUCGCCAUUAGCACAUCCAAACCAGAUACACUUGACUGUUAGUGUUGUGUCAUGGCUUGCUACUCCUUUCAGGAGAAAGCAUGGUCUCUGCUCCACAUGGCUGGCAGGACUCGAUCCAAAUGAAGGAACUCUUGUACCAUGUUGGAUACACCGAGGAUCCCUGCCUCCAGAUCCGGCGACUCCUCUCGUUCUUAUUGGGCCAGGAACAGGAUGUGCGCCAUUCCGAGCAUUCGUGGAGGAGAGGGCUGUGCAGAGGGUGAAAGAACCCACAGCUCCGAUCCUAUUCUUCUUCGGCUGUAGAAACGAAGACGAUGAUUUUCUAUACAGGGACUUUUGGCUACAUCAUGCCCAGGACAACAGAGUGCUGUCCGUGGAAGAGGGCGGCGGUUUCUUUGUCGCCUUCUCUAGGGAUCAGCCUGAAAAGGUGUAUGUGCAGCACAAGAUCAGGGAGCAGAGUGCAAGGGUGCUGAACAUGUUAUGCUCUGGUGCCGCAGUAUACGUCGCGGGGUCGUCUACCAAAAUGCCUGCUGAUGUUAGAGCUGCGCUGGAAGAAGUUGUCCGCGAAAAGGGCGGCGACGCUGGAUGGCUCAGGAAACUGGAAAGGGCUGGUAAAUAUAACACCGAAACUUGGUCAUGA
This 1917-nucleotide ribosomal RNA is filed under the name Triticum aestivum (bread wheat). Its description in RNAcentral is "partial small subunit ribosomal RNA". Lineage: Eukaryota; Viridiplantae; Streptophyta; Magnoliopsida; Poales; Poaceae. The record is from RNAcentral.